GAACUUCAAACAUAUCAUAUAUAUUCAUAUAAAUUACAUGUGUACCUUUCACCAUGGUCAAGAAAGUUCAUCUCCUUUAAAAAGUUGUGGUCAUAAAUAAAUUUGAUAAUCGAAAAUCGAACCUAAAGAUUGUUGGACCUUUUGUUGGGGGUAUGUUGCAAAUAUUGAACAAGAAGAAAAUGAAAUUGAUGAUAAUGAAAGUUGCACAUAUAAAUUCCAAAGCAUGUGUAUCACACUAAGCUUUAGGUUCGAUGCGCCAUCACCAAUCUAUAUAUAUUGGAUGCAAAUGAGUUAACCGGCAAAUUCCCUUCAAAAUACUUUGAAAUCCUUGAAGUGAAUUGCACAUUCACAUCAAACCUAUCGAUCAAGGAUAGUUUACAUAAUAAAGUUCCUUCAUUUACUCUCGUGCACUAGAGAAAAGAAGAAAUGACUCAAAUAUUUUUGACAGAAGUUUGACUCAUGUAACAUGAAAUUUGUCUCUUGUAUUUUCUGCCUCUAAAGUAUCUCUGUUUAUAGAGAUUAACAUAUGUAUUGGUUUGAAUUAAACCCAAGCAUUACAACCAUCUGACAAAGUGAUACAUUAAGUUAUUUAAUUUUACUACAUUAAUAUAACUAUUA
This 618-nucleotide long non-coding RNA is filed under the name Cicer arietinum (chickpea). Its description in RNAcentral is "long non-coding RNA (CARI_LNC002093)". The record is from RNAcentral. Lineage: Eukaryota; Viridiplantae; Streptophyta; Magnoliopsida; Fabales; Fabaceae.